UGGGGAAUAUUAGACAAUGGGCGAAAGCCUGAUCCAGCAAUGCCGCGUGAGUGAUGAAGGCCUUAGGGUUGUAAAGCUCUUUUACCCGGGAUGAUAAUGACAGUACCGGGAGAAUAAGCCCCGGCUAACUCCGUGCCAGCAGCCGCGGUAAUACGGAGGGGGCUAGCGUUGUUCGGAAUUACUGGGCGUAAAGCGCGCGUAGGCGGUUCUUCAAGUCAGAGGUGAAAGCCCGGUGCUCAACACCGGAAUUGCCUUUGAGACUAGGGAACUUGAAUCCAGGAGAGGUGAGUGGAAUUCCGAGUGUAGAGGUGAAAUUCGUAGAUAUUCGGAAGAACACCAGUGGCGAAGGCGACUCACUGGACACAUAUUGACGCUGAGGUGCGAAAGCGUGGGGAGCAAA
RNAcentral lists this ribosomal RNA (400 nucleotides) under uncultured bacterium. Its description in RNAcentral is "bacterial SSU rRNA". It matches the Rfam family "Bacterial small subunit ribosomal RNA", at positions 355 to 772 of the family's 1533-position model. The record is from RNAcentral.